CUGCUGGCGCUGACUGCGCUCCAGUGCCCAGUGACAGAGAGUCGAGGGAUUGUGGAUAGCCUGCAGAAGUUUUCCUCGCUCCCUGCUUACCUCCCCACGAACUUGCACAUCUCCAAUGCAGAGGAGUCCUUUUUCCUUAAAGAAGCCAACCAAGACCUCACAAGGAACUCCAGUCUGCAGGCCCGGGUGGAGCCAUUCUUCAUCUACCGAGCCAGGACACCCCCUAUUAUCAACGCCAGCUAUGGCCCAUUUUCAGUGGAGAAGAUAAUCCCCCGGGAGCUUCUGUUGACAUCUACAGCCUUUGGAAACUUGGACAAAUUUCCCUUCAACUGGAAAUUGAAAUCCCACAUCCUUGACAGCUCCAUCUACUCCAACAGACCCAAAGUGCAGACCUUGUUUUAUGUCACUGGCAUGGGCUGGGAUGACAGCGACCUUACGGAAGAUCUACCCUGUGUCAAGAUGUUUGCUUUCCCUGAGGCCAGGGAAGUGGCAGCCAGCUGUCGGCUGCAAGGGGCCCCAGGGCUGUGUGUGGCUGAGCUGGAGCUGCUGCCCGAGUGG
This 558-nucleotide small RNA is filed under the name Pan troglodytes (chimpanzee). Its description in RNAcentral is "processed transcript". Lineage: Eukaryota; Metazoa; Chordata; Mammalia; Primates; Hominidae. The record is from RNAcentral.